AUCCCAAAAUAUCAUUCUGUUGUUUGCAUGCGGCCACCCUGAAAAAUAUAUAAAACGAUGUUUUUUGAGGCCGAUUUUGAUCGCUUCCGGUUUCGGUAUUUAUAUUCAGACGUAAACAAAGUUGGAGGAAACAGAAAAUGUGACUGUAGAUUUAUCGAAGUUCUAACCAUUUAACAGAAUGCCUGGAGAUGGUCCAAAACAAUAUUCUGUUACUGGAGCUGUUACUUGUUGGUAUAGACCAAUCCACACUUUUCAAAAGUUAUGUCCCUUGGCCGCCAUCUUAGGGGAUAAACCUAUACAAUCCACACAGUAGCCUUUGUAGUUCUCACCACGCCCAAAUAUUUGGUAGCACAAAGAGGAGAAAUGACGUUUCUUUCCCUUUUGACCUUUUGGUUGACCCCGCAAAGGGAAACAACUUUUGCAAAGUGUGGAUUGGACUAUUGUCAGUGUCGUGCCCAUGUGGCCUCAGUAUUGUGGUUUCUUGGCUAUGAAAGACACACAAACUUUGCAGUAAGACCUACUCAAGACUGGGCUGACUACCUUGAGGAUGCAGCUGUGCUUCCUGCAGUAAUGGAUGGCUCAUCAGAAAGUGAAAUGGGUGCAAAGGAAGAGUGACAUGAAUUGCGACAUUGGUUUAUUGAGAGUAAACAUUAUUGAGAGGGAACAUUCUGCAGAUUAUAGGCGUCUCCAUAUGUGUUAAAAUUCUCGAGAGGGACAUUAAACAAUAAACAAUCAAUCAAUCUGCAGGUUAUGAUAUCCACUGCAUUAGACUCCCAUUAUUGUUUUCAACAAUAUAGUGGAAGGCUGUGAAUAUAUUGUUAUUUUUUAAUUGUAAAUAGGGAUUUUUAUGUAUCCAUGAUUUUUCUUAAUGUUUAAAUUGUGAUUUGUUAACAUCUGUUAUAUCAUCGAGAAAUUAAAAUAUAGUACAUUGUACAUCCCAAAAACAUAUUAGAUUCAUUGCUUGAGUUUAACAAGUUCGGUUGUAAAUAUUGAAAGAUUAAUU
Saccostrea cuccullata (small rock oyster) is the source of this 1003-nucleotide long non-coding RNA. RefSeq lists it as uncharacterized. The record is from RefSeq and is a predicted model, not a curated record. The transcript is spliced from 3 exons. Lineage: Eukaryota; Metazoa; Mollusca; Bivalvia; Ostreida; Ostreidae.